UACGGAGGGUGCAAGCGUUGUCCGGAUUUAUUGGGUUUAAAGGGUGCGUAGGUGGCCCUGUAAGUCAGUGGUGAAAUAUCUCAGCUUAACUGAGAGGGUGCCAUUGAUACUGCAGGGCUUGAGUACAGAUGAGGUAGGCGGAAUUGACGGUGUAGCGGUGAAAUGCAUAGAUAUCGUCAAGAACACCGAUAGCGAAGGCAGCUUACCAAGCUGUAACUGACACUGAGGCACGAAAGUGUGGGGAUCAAACAGG
RNAcentral lists this ribosomal RNA (253 nucleotides) under uncultured bacterium. RNAcentral describes it as "partial 16S ribosomal RNA". It matches the Rfam family "Bacterial small subunit ribosomal RNA", at positions 524 to 776 of the family's 1533-position model. The record is from RNAcentral.